Molecule: ribosomal RNA, 250 nt
Filed under: uncultured prokaryote
Description: partial 16S ribosomal RNA
Rfam family: Bacterial small subunit ribosomal RNA
Source: RNAcentral
UACGGAGGAUGCGAGCGUUAUCCGGAUUUAUUGGGUUUAAAGGGUGCGUAGGUGGUCUGUUAAGUCAGUGGUGAAAGCGUGCGGCUCAACCGUACCGAGCCAUUGAAACUGGCGGACUUGAGUGCAAACGAGGUAGGCGGAAUGUGAUGUGUAGCGGUGAAAUGCUUAGAUAUGUCACAGAACCCCGAUUGCGAGGCAGCUUACCAGCAUGCAACUGACACUGAGGCACGAAAGCGUGGGUAUCAAACAG